Molecule: RNA transcript, 1939 nt
Organism: Zingiber officinale
Lineage: Eukaryota; Viridiplantae; Streptophyta; Magnoliopsida; Zingiberales; Zingiberaceae
Exons: 3
Source: RefSeq, a predicted model, not a curated record
AAAUCAAAUUAAACCACACGACAUUAAUCGGCCCCACUGAGCCCAGUGAACCAAAUUUGAUGGAGUCUUGGAGCGUGCUUCGCACGUGAGCCUUCCCUUCGCCCGCACUCCUUCCAAUUCCCGGCGAACGCUCACGUGAUGCGGGACGUGGACCACGCUGCCCUUUCAAAAAUUGAGGAUAGCGAGAGGGAAUCGUCACCUGUCCUCUUCCACCUACCGGAGGUUCCCCCACUCGCGCUGGACUAUUAUUUGAGCUAUUUUGCCUCGUCGAGCUCCAGAGUCGGAUCGGGUCACCGUCCGCUGUUGAAAGCUGCCGACCGAUGUUUUCCGCUGAGACGGAACGCCGGCCUCGGGCUGCAGAGCCGGCGCUUCUGCCGGAGCCUCUUGGGCAGGCGGCGCAGGGCAAUACGUUCCGCAACUUCUCGCUCCCGAUCACGAAGACGUGGGGGAACAAGCGAGUGCUACGCUGCGUGAGCGUGGGCGAGGGAGCCGCCGGCGGCGUCGAUGGCGCGGGCGGACGACGAUCGUCGCGUGAUCUGGAGGCAGGAAGCAGCGACAGAAGUGUGGUGGAGGAAGUGAGGGAGAAACUCUUGGCUCACCUCCGGGAGGCGGCGGAUCGAAUCAAUCUGAUAGUUCAUCGAGCGCCGCUGCCGCCGCCUUCCAAAGGCGAUGACCACGUCAGGGAAACCGUGCCGGCGGAAGAUCCCGAAACGGAGCCGUCGUCAUCCGCCGCGGCAUGGCCGUGGAAACUGCGGACGAGGCGAAGGGGGGCUAGGGUUCAGGCGGCGUUCGAGCGGCAAGAGAGUGCGUCGCCGCCCGUCGCAGGCGAGAAAAGAUCGGGGCGGCUGCUGACGUCAGAAAUAAUGGAGCGGAGCGAACGCCCUAAUUUCUCCGUUACUCUUUCCAGGGAGGAGAUCGACGAGGACAUCUACGCCGUCACCGGUCACAGGGCACGCCGCCGGCCUCGAAAGCGGCCCCGUCUCAUCCAGAAGCAACUCGAUAUGUUGUUUCCUGGUUCAUGGCUUUCGGAGGUCACGGUCGACUCCUACAAGGUUCCCGAAUAGAAGCGCUUGCACGGUCACCGGCGGCAUACCUUCUCCUCCGUCGCCAUUGACUCUCAUCUUCUCCACCCACCGCUUCAACAUUCAACAGUGUCCGCCAACAGCACAACCAGCAACAGCAGCACCACCACCACCAGCACGAACCCCACCGCCCACCACCAGUCAUAUCAUUUCACGUGUGAAAUCGCAUUCAACCCUCGUGGGCUUAAAUAGGUAAUCCUUUAUUCAGUACUCUGGUUCAUGGUUGGAAUCAUGUCAAGUCCCUUUCAAUUUCACUUAAUAGUCAAUGCAUUGUGAAUUCUAUAUUCAUGGUGGAUGGGGCCCAAUAUGAUAAAAAAAAAAAUCUAGUCGCAUCGAAUUGUGGUUGGGGAGGAAAUCGAUUAGUAGGUGGACCCCUAAGAAAAGCCUAAUCACUCAGAGUAGUUCUCAACUGGUGAUCAUCGCUAAAAAUUAGGAUUAGUAUCCUUUUCUAACUUUAAUUUGGUGGCUGAUUGUUCGCUAAUAAAUUUAUGCGUAUUUCAUGAGUGAUAAGGACCAUGAAGCAGUGUUGAGCAGAUGGUAGCUGGAACUUGCAUCAGUUGAGAUUGAGAAGCUCCUGGAUAACCAUUUGUGAAUAUUUGAGAGGCUUCUAUAGGAGUUCUUCUUCAUAUACUCCGUCUAGCACAAACAGUCAUGAGAGGGAACUCCAAGAAAGAUAGAAUAAAAGGAGAUAAGUGUAUUAGUUUUUCAAUGAUGCAGUCUGGGAGUAGUAGAUUUUUUGAUGAACUAUGGAUUAAAUAUAUUCCCUUUUGAUCAUUUCUAUCAAUCUACAUUCCCAAUUUCACACGAUCAGGGUUUUGGGAUUUCAAUAUAUACCUCGUUGUCUAACUAAAGCUACA